This is a long non-coding RNA of Gadus macrocephalus (Pacific cod), 375 nucleotides long. RefSeq lists it as uncharacterized. NCBI's taxonomy places the organism in Eukaryota, Metazoa, Chordata, Actinopteri, Gadiformes, Gadidae. The record is from RefSeq and is a predicted model, not a curated record. The transcript has 2 exons.
CCUGUGUACAUAAUGUGAUGGAUGUUUAUGGUUCCACUAAAUAAUUCAGAUUCUGUGCCUUGAUGUGACCGUUUCCAAAACAGCCUGAAAACAAAUAGGAUGAAAUAUCAUUAAAAUGCUCAAGACUUGCUUUAAACUACAGAAAGGUGCUGAAAACUACUGGAAAGGUUGUGACCCACAAGUAGCACCAUUGUGCAAAGGGCCUUUUCUCAUGAUACCAAACGGCAAGAGUACACACACACACACACACACACACACACACACACACACACACACACACACACACACACACACACACACACACACACACACACACACACACACACACACACACACACACAGAGACAGACAGACAGACAGACAGAAACACAGACA